Molecule: ribosomal RNA, 2770 nt
Filed under: Klebsiella pneumoniae
Lineage: Bacteria; Pseudomonadati; Pseudomonadota; Gammaproteobacteria; Enterobacterales; Enterobacteriaceae
Description: partial 23S ribosomal RNA
Rfam family: Bacterial large subunit ribosomal RNA
Source: RNAcentral
CACUAUCGUUAACUGAAUACAUAGGUUAACGAGGCGAACCGGGGGAACUGAAACAUCUAAGUACCCCGAGGAAAAGAAAUCAACCGAGAUUCCCCCAGUAGCGGCGAGCGAACGGGGAGCAGCCCAGAGUCUGAAUCAGCUUGUGUGUUAGUGGAACGGUCUGGAAAGUCCGACGGUACAGGGUGAUAGUCCCGUACACCAAAAUGCACAGGCUGUGAACUCGAAGAGUAGGGCGGGACACGUGGUAUCCUGUCUGAAUAUGGGGGGACCAUCCUCCAAGGCUAAAUACUCCUGACUGACCGAUAGUGAACCAGUACCGUGAGGGAAAGGCGAAAAGAACCCCGGCGAGGGGAGUGAAAAAGAACCUGAAACCGUGUACGUACAAGCAGUGGGAGCACCUUCGGGUGUGACUGCGUACCUUUUGUAUAAUGGGUCAGCGACUUAUAUUCUGUAGCAAGGUUAACCGUAUAGGGGAGCCGCAGGGAAACCGAGUCUUAACUGGGCGUUAAGUUGCAGGGUAUAGACCCGAAACCCGGUGAUCUAGCCAUGGGCAGGUUGAAGGUUGGGUAACACUAACUGGAGGACCGAACCGACUAAUGUUGAAAAAUUAGCGGAUGACUUGUGGCUGGGGGUGAAAGGCCAAUCAAACCGGGAGAUAGCUGGUUCUCCCCGAAAGCUAUUUAGGUAGCGCCUCGUGAAUUCAUCUUCGGGGGUAGAGCACUGUUUCGGCUAGGGGGUCAUCCCGACUUACCAACCCGAUGCAAACUACGAAUACCGAAGAAUGUUAUCACGGGAGACACACGGCGGGUGCUAACGUCCGUCGUGAAGAGGGAAACAACCCAGACCGCCAGCUAAGGUCCCAAAGUCAUGGUUAAGUGGGAAACGAUGUGGGAAGGCACAGACAGCCAGGAUGUUGGCUUAGAAGCAGCCAUCAUUUAAAGAAAGCGUAAUAGCUCACUGGUCGAGUCGGCCUGCGCGGAAGAUGUAACGGGGCUAAACCAUGCACCGAAGCUGCGGCAGCGACACUAUGUGUUGUUGGGUAGGGGAGCGUUCUGUAAGCCUGCGAAGGUGACCUGUGAGGGUUGCUGGAGGUAUCAGAAGUGCGAAUGCUGACAUAAGUAACGAUAAAGCGGGUGAAAAGCCCGCUCGCCGGAAGACCAAGGGUUCCUGUCCAACGUUAAUCGGGGCAGGGUGAGUCGACCCCUAAGGCGAGGCCGAAAGGCGUAGUCGAUGGGAAACAGGUUAAUAUUCCUGUACUUGGUGUUACUGCGAAGGGGGGACGGAGAAGGCUAUGUUAGCCGGGCGACGGUUGUCCCGGUUUAAGCAUGUAGGCUGGUUAUCCAGGCAAAUCCGGAUAAUCAAGGCUGAGGUGUGAUGACGAGGCACUACGGUGCUGAAGUAACAAAUGCCCUGCUUCCAGGAAAAGCCUCUAAGCAUCAGGUAACAUCAAAUCGUACCCCAAACCGACACAGGUGGUCAGGUAGAGAAUACCAAGGCGCUUGAGAGAACUCGGGUGAAGGAACUAGGCAAAAUGGUGCCGUAACUUCGGGAGAAGGCACGCUGGUGUGUAGGUGAAGUCCCUGCGGAUGGAGCUGAGACCAGUCGAAGAUACCAGCUGGCUGCAACUGUUUAUUAAAAACACAGCACUGUGCAAACACGAAAGUGGACGUAUACGGUGUGACGCCUGCCCGGUGCCGGAAGGUUAAUUGAUGGGGUUAUCCGUAAGGAGAAGCUCUUGAUCGAAGCCCCGGUAAACGGCGGCCGUAACUAUAACGGUCCUAAGGUAGCGAAAUUCCUUGUCGGGUAAGUUCCGACCUGCACGAAUGGCGUAAUGAUGGCCAGGCUGUCUCCACCCGAGACUCAGUGAAAUUGAACUCGCUGUGAAGAUGCAGUGUACCCGCGGCAAGACGGAAAGACCCCGUGAACCUUUACUAUAGCUUGACACUGAACAUUGAGCCUUGAUGUGUAGGAUAGGUGGGAGGCUUUGAAGCGUGGACGCCAGUCUGCGUGGAGCCAACCUUGAAAUACCACCCUUUAAUGUUUGAUGUUCUAACGUUGGCCCCUUACCGGGGUUGCGGACAGUGUCUGGUGGGUAGUUUGACUGGGGCGGUCUCCUCCCAAAGCGUAACGGAGGAGCACGAAGGUUAGCUAAUCCUGGUCGGACAUCAGGAGGUUAGUGCAAUGGCAUAAGCUAGCUUGACUGCGAGCGUGACGGCGCGAGCAGGUGCGAAAGCAGGUCAUAGUGAUCCGGUGGUUCUGAAUGGAAGGGCCAUCGCUCAACGGAUAAAAGGUACUCCGGGGAUAACAGGCUGAUACCGCCCAAGAGUUCAUAUCGACGGCGGUGUUUGGCACCUCGAUGUCGGCUCAUCACAUCCUGGGGCUGAAGUAGGUCCCAAGGGUAUGGCUGUUCGCCAUUUAAAGUGGUACGCGAGCUGGGUUUAGAACGUCGUGAGACAGUUCGGUCCCUAUCUGCCGUGGGCGCUGGAGAAUUGAGGGGGGCUGCUCCUAGUACGAGAGGACCGGAGUGGACGCAUCACUGGUGUUCGGGUUGUCAUGCCAAUGGCACUGCCCGGUAGCUAAAUGCGGAAGAGAUAAGUGCUGAAAGCAUCUAAGCACGAAACUUGCCCCGAGAUGAGUUCUCCCUGAGACUUUAAGUCUCCUGAAGGAACGUUAAAGACGAUGACGUUGAUAGGCCGGGUGUGUAAGCGCAGCGAUGCGUUGAGCUAACCGGUACUAAUGAACCGUGAGGCUUAACCUUACAACGCCGAAG